Molecule: long non-coding RNA, 900 nt
Filed under: Phoenix dactylifera (date palm)
Lineage: Eukaryota; Viridiplantae; Streptophyta; Magnoliopsida; Arecales; Arecaceae
Description: long non-coding RNA (PDAC_LNC002399)
Source: RNAcentral
AGAGGGAAAGGGGUUUUCAUGGGCCCAGUAAUCGGGUUUGAAGUUUGGAGGAGUGGGUCAUCUGGGUCAUGAUCCCACCGAGAUGGGAAAUUGGGCUAUUGAAUUUAGGGCCUAAAUGUUCUAAUUACUAAAUUAGGGAACCGUUAAAAUGAAGGAAAAUGCCUUAAUGGGCCUUGGGGAUGGCCUCAAAAUAAUUGUAAUUAUGAGGGCUUGAGAUUAGACUGGACCUAAGGAGCCCAAACCUUAAUAGAAGGGUCAAAUUGAAUAUGGGCAAGAUCUUUUGUUUUUUAAUUAAUUAGAUCUGAUAANNNNNNNNNNNNNNNNNNNNGAAUUUAGGGCCUAAAUGUUCUAAUUACUAAAUUAGGGAACCGUUAAUAUGAAGGAAAAUGCCUUAAUGGGCCUUGGGAUGGCCUCAAAAUAAUUGUAAUUAUGAGGGCUUGAGAUUAGACUGGACCUAAGGAGCCCAAACCUUAAUAGAAGGGUCAAAGUGAAUAUGGGCAAGAUCUUUUGUUUUUUUUUAAUUAAUUAGAUCUGAUAAGGUUUAAAAUUGUGAAUUAACUAAUUGUGUUUCUGGCCCUGAAUACGAAUGGGCCAGUGAGUGAAUCAGGCCAAGGGCCUGAUCCAGCACCCAAUUAAACUUUGGGCCUGAAUGCAAAAGGGCCCUGACCUGAACCCAGGAGCAAUAGGGUCAAACCCGAACCAGAAAGUGACCCAGACCUGAACCAAACUUGGGUCUGACCUGAACCAGAAAAAUUGUUAGACCAAAAUCAGACAUUGGGUCAAACCCAAAUGGAGAAAAUUGAACAGACCUAAAUUGGAAAUUGAACCAGGUUAGAGACCUAAGAAUAAAAUUGAGUCCUAUGGAUGGAUUGUAAGCUGGGUAAUUAAGGAAGAUAGUGA